CGAUUCCGGAGAGGGAGCCUGAGAAACGGCUACCACAUCCAAGGAAGGCAGCAGGCGCGCAAAUUACCCAAUCCCGACACGGGGAGGUAGUGACAAUAAAUAACAAUAUGGGGCUCUUACGAGUCUCGUAAUUGGAAUGAGUACAAUUUAAAUCUCUUAACGAGGAACAAUUGGAGGGCAAGUCUGGUGCCAGCAGCCGCGGUAAUUCCAGCUCCAAUAGCGUAUAUUAAAGUUGUUGCAGUUAAAAAGCUCGUAGUUGAAUUUCGGAAUCUGUCCGUCGGUCGGGCUUCACUGUCCGUACUGGUGUGAUGGGUUUCUACCUUCUGAAUAACCGGCAUGUCAUUAAUUUGGUGCGCCGGGGAAGCAGAACUAUUACCUUGAAAAAAUUAGAGUGCUUAAAGCAGGCUAUCGCCUGAAUAGAUUAGCAUGGAAUAAUAAAAUAGGACGGCAUGGUUCUAUUUUGUUGGUUUCUAGGAUCACCGUAAUGAUUAAUAGGGAUAGUUGGGGGCAUUAGUAUUCAAUUGUCAGAGGUGAAAUUCUUGGAUUUAUUGAAGACUAACUUCUGCGAAAGCAUUUGCCAAGGAUGUUUUCAUUAAUCAAGAACGAAAGUUAGGGGAUCGAAGACGAUCAGAUACCGUCGUAGUCUUAACCAUAAACUAUGCCGACUAGGGAUCGGACGAUGUUAAUUUUUUAAUGAC
This 698-nucleotide ribosomal RNA is filed under the name Acaulospora colossica. RNAcentral's name for it is "SSU rRNA". It matches the Rfam family "Eukaryotic small subunit ribosomal RNA", at positions 378 to 1075 of the family's 1831-position model. The record is from RNAcentral. Lineage: Eukaryota; Fungi; Glomeromycota; Glomeromycetes; Diversisporales; Acaulosporaceae.